AAGGAUCAUUACAAGAAGAACGAGGCCUUCGGGUCUCGAUCCUCAAACCACUGUGUACCGUAUCUCUUGUGUUUGGCGGGCGCGCCUCCCCUCCGCGGGGUGGUCAGCCCGCCGAAGAUGCAGACCGUCCGUCCGAUGAACGUCUGAAACCAAAUCGUUUUUAACGAGAAUUAAAGUACAACUUUCAACAAUGGAUCUCUUGGCUCCGGCAUCGAUGAAGAACGCAGCGAAAUGCGAUAGCUAGUGUGAAUUGCAGAUUUCAGUGAAUCAUCGAGUCUUUGAACGCACAUUGCGCCUCUUGGUAUUCCAUGAGGCAUGCCUGUUCGAGCGUCAUUAGAACACUCAAGCUCUGCUUGGUGUUGGGUGUCUGUCCCGCCUCUUGUGCGUGGACUCGCCUUAAAGUCAUUGGCAGCCGCUCUUGUAGGCCUGGAAGCGCAGCAAAGUCCGCGCGGUAGGCUGUCAUGGUGGCGUCCAACAAGCUCUUCUUACACUUGACCUCGGAUCAGGUAGGGAUACCCGCUGAACUUAAG
Molecule: ribosomal RNA, 530 nt
Filed under: uncultured fungus
Lineage: Eukaryota; Fungi
Description: eukaryotic LSU rRNA
Rfam family: 5.8S ribosomal RNA (bases 180-333)
Source: RNAcentral